Long non-coding RNA from Oncorhynchus keta (chum salmon), 1183 nucleotides. RefSeq lists it as uncharacterized. The record is from RefSeq and is a predicted model, not a curated record. The transcript has 4 exons. Lineage: Eukaryota; Metazoa; Chordata; Actinopteri; Salmoniformes; Salmonidae.
AAACAUGUUACAGAAUAGCUUGCUAGCUGUGCAUUAUAUAUAAUCAAUCCAACUGUUUGCAUCAACAAAAAUCCAGAUGCGAAGUGCUUUGCCAGAUUAGCGGCUACCUGGCAUUUUAGCUAGCAAGCUUUUUGUCAUUAGCCAGGUUGUUAAUUGGCUAACCAUGGUUCAUUCUUUUGGAACCAGUUACAAAUGUACAUAUUGUUGAAUAGAUGUGCCGCUGUAUAGCUUCGCGUCAGUAACAUCAGUAGAAAAAAUAUAUAGUUACACCAGUUAUAACAAUGUCAUAUGGUGCACGUCCAUCUUUAUGUCGGCUAUGCAUGCAUUCUAUUACUUAUUCCCAUGACAAAUAGUAUCUCUCCUUAUUUCACAGUAAACUAAUCGAUUGCAACAGAAAACAGGUCUCUUGAAAAAUGUGUAUCUAUCUGAAGAGACUAACCAGGUUAAAUAAUGUAGAAACAAUAGAAGAUGCCUUAGGGCAAUUGGUUUCUUAUUAAGCAUGAUUGAGUGACAGGAAGUUGACUGACAGAACGUUGUCUUUGUGCCUUCUUCCCUGUAAUCAAAAUAAGUGCAUUAGUAAAUAGCCCAGUGGUAGGUUAACUACCUAACGUUGUGUAAUUGGUAACUAGUGCAUUAGUAAAUAGCCCAGUGGUAGGUUAACUACCUAACGUUGUGUAAUUGGUAACUAGUGCAUUAGUAAAUAGCCCAGUGGUAGGUUAACUACUUAACGUUGUGUAAUUGGUAACUAGUGCAUUAGUAAAUAGCCCAGUGGUAGGUUAACUACCUAACGUUGUGUAAUUGGUAACUAGUGCAUUAGUAAAUAGCCCAGUGGUAGGUUAACUACCUAACGUUGUGUAAUUGGUAACUAGUGCAUUAGUAAAUAGCCCAGUGGUAGGUUAACUACCUAACGUUGUGUAAUUGGUAACUAGUGCAUUAGUAAAUAGCCCAGUGGUAGGUUAACUACCUAACGUUGUGUAAUUGGUAACUAGUGCAUUAGUAAAUAGCCCAGUGGUAGGUUAACUACCUAACGUUGUGUAAUUGGUAACUAGUGCAUUAGUAAAUAGCCCAGUGGUAGGUUAACUACCUAACGUUGUGUAAUUGGUAACUAGUGCAUUAGUAAAUAGCCCAGUGGUAGGUUAACUACCUAACGUUGUGUAAUUGGUAACUAGUGCAUUAGUAAAUA